AGCAGCCGCGGUAAUUCCAGCUCCAAUAGCGUAUAUUAAAGUUGCUGCAGUUAAAAAGCUCGUAGUUGAAUUUCGGGACUAAUAUGUCGGUCGUGCCUCGGUACGUACUGGCUUAUUGGUUUCUCCUUUCUGAAGAACCAUGAUGUCAUUUAUUUGGUGUCGUGGGGAAUCAGGACUGUUACUUUGAAAAAAUUAGAGUGUUUAAAGCAGGCUCACGCUUGAAUACAUUAGCAUGGAAUAAUGAAAUAGGACGUUUGAUUCUAUUUUGUUGGUUUCUAGGAUCGACGUAAUGAUUAAUAGGGAUAGUUGGGGGCAUUAGUAUUCAAUUGUCAGAGGUGAAAUUCUUGGAUUUAUUGAAGACUAACUACUGCGAAAGCAUUUGCCAAGGAUGUUUUCAUUAAUCAAGAACGAAAGUUAGGGGAUCGAAGACGAUCAGAUACCGUCGUAGUCUUAACCAUAAACUAUGCCGACUAGGGAUCGGAUGAUGUUAAUUUUUAAUGUA
RNAcentral lists this unclassified non-coding RNA (502 nucleotides) under uncultured Archaeospora. Its description in RNAcentral is "SSU rRNA". It matches the Rfam family "Eukaryotic small subunit ribosomal RNA", at positions 569 to 1078 of the family's 1831-position model. The record is from RNAcentral. Lineage: Eukaryota; Fungi; Glomeromycota; Glomeromycetes; Archaeosporales; Archaeosporaceae.